CACUACGAACGGGUGGAGCCUGCGGUUUAAUUGGAUCAACGCCGAAAUCUCGACCGGGGCGACAGCAAUAUGAAGGUCAGGCUGAAGACCUUACCCGAUUAGCUGAGAGGUGGUGCAUGGCCGUCGUCAGUUCGUACUGUGAAGCAUCCUGUUAAGUCAGGCAACGAGCGAGACCCACGUCCACAGUUGCCAGCAUACCCUCCGGGGUGAUGGGUACACUGUGGAGACCGCCGCUGCUAAAGCGGAGGAAGGAGUGGGCAACGGUAGGUCAGUAUGCCCCGAAUCUCCCGGGCUACACGCGGGCUACAAUGGUUGGUACAAUGGGCAUCUACCCCGAAAGGGGAAGGAAAUCUCUUAAAGCCAAUCGUAGUUCGGAUUGAGGGCUGCAACUCGCCCUCAUGAAGCUGGAAUCCGUAGUAAUCGCGUUUCAACAGAACGCGGUGAAUACGUCCCUGCUCCUU
This 461-nucleotide ribosomal RNA is filed under the name uncultured Methanosaeta sp. RNAcentral's name for it is "bacterial SSU rRNA". It matches the Rfam family "Archaeal small subunit ribosomal RNA", at positions 877 to 1338 of the family's 1478-position model. The record is from RNAcentral. Lineage: Archaea; Methanobacteriati; Methanobacteriota; Methanomicrobia; Methanotrichales; Methanotrichaceae.